Long non-coding RNA from Pseudopipra pipra, 3878 nucleotides. RefSeq lists it as uncharacterized. The record is from RefSeq and is a predicted model, not a curated record. The transcript is spliced from 2 exons. NCBI's taxonomy places the organism in Eukaryota, Metazoa, Chordata, Aves, Passeriformes, Pipridae.
AUAAACACAUCACAUGGUGGGUGAGCAAUUGCCACAGAGGGUAACAGUGAAUGGGGGAACAUCAGACUGGUGACCUGUCACUAGUGGGGUUCCACAGGGCUCCAUCUUAGGCUAUGCUCUUCACCGUCUUCAUAAAUGACUUGGACACAGGACUGGAGGGGAUACUAAUCAAGUUUACAGAUGACACAAAACUGGGAGGAGCUGUUGACUCCCUCAAAGGCAGGGAGGCCCUGCAGAGAGACCUCAACAAAUCAGAGGACUGGGCAAUCACCAAUCGUAUGAAGUUCAACAAGGGAAAGUGCCAGAUUCUGCACCUGGGAUGAGGCAACCCUGGAUGUUUGUACAGACUGGGGAGUGGAAAGCAGUGCCAUGGAAAGGGACCUGGGAGUCCUGGUUGAUGGCAAGUUGAAUAUGAGUCAGCAGUGCCCUGAAAGCCAGGAGGGCCAACCGUGUCCUGGGGGCACAGUCAGGCAAAGCAUCUCCAACCAGUCGAGGGAGGGGAUUGUCCCACUUUGCUCUGCACUGGGGCAGCCUCACCUUGAAUAUUGUGUGCAGUUUUGGGCACUGCAAUAUAAGAAAGGUAUUAAGCUCUUAGAGAGUGUCCAAAGGAGGGCAAUGAAGAUGGUGAAGGGCCUUGAGUGGAAGCCUUAUGAGGAGCCGCUGCGGUCACUUGGUCUGUUCAGCCUGGAGAAGAGGAGACUGAGGGGAGACCUCAUUGCAGUUUACAACUUCUCAUAAGGGGAAGAGGAGGGACAGGCACUGAUCUCUUCUCUGUGGUGACCAGUGACAGAACCCAAGGGAAUGGCCUGAAGUUGUGUCAGGGGAAGUUUAGGGUGAAUAUUAGAAAAAGGUUCUUCCCCCAGAAUUUGGUUGGGCACUGGAACAGGUUUCCCAGGGAAGUGGUCACAGCACCAACCCUCAUAUAGUUCAAGAAGCAUUUGGACAGUGCUCUCAGGCCCAUGGUGUGACUCCUGGGAAUGGUCCUGUGCAGGGCUAAGAAUUGGACUCAAUGAUCCUUUUGAGUCCCUUCCAACUCAGCAUAUUCUGUGGUUCUGUGAAAUAUAUCUGAAACAAUCCUCCAGAAGAAUAGAAACGUACGAGGAGGAAUAAAGUGUUAUUGGCUCAAGAAGUCUUAUCCAUGAGCAAUGUGAAACUUGCUCUUAAAAAAAAAUACUAUAAAAUUUGCGAUGCCUUUCUUUUGAGGAAACUAAUGCUCAGAAAACUAUUUCAUGCUUUUAAGCAAAAUUCACACGUUAGGCAAUUCUUUUCAGCUUAGUGGACCAAUAGUCUUGAUUUUAAUUGGACUUCUUUAUACUAGCUUCAAAUAGUAAAAGACUCAUCAGUUUUCCACUGUAAACUAUUGAUAUUGGCUACAUUAAUAUCACAUGUACUAAAGCUCUGUGUUGCCUUUGUGUAACAUGUCAAAUGUGCUUCCCAGCAGCACUGGAUUUAGCAGAGAAGCAGAAUAGGCAAGGGAUGAAGUGGGCAGAUACUGAAGUCUGCCACUCUGUCGGUGUUCAAAAGUCCCAUCCACUUGCAUAGGUGAUGCUGUUGAGCUGCAAUCCAUUUUUAGAAACACAUAGUUACUAGAAUACAGCUUCUGGGUAUUCAGCAGCAGAAAUGUGGGAAAUGCGGCAGGUAUCAACAUCACCUGCAAGACUAUCACCCUCAGUGGACCACAGCAAAGGAGUAUGAAGAGCCCAGCAACCCUACAACAGAUUACCAGAGUAGCUUUCUUUUUGAUAUAUUGCAGAUCCCUCUGAUUUCAGAAGAAAUACUCUUAGUUGCUGGAGGGAAGUAGUCAGCCCUUCUUUCCUCAUCUAUGGCUCUGGAGGAAACAGCAAGUGCAUCUCCAGAACUCUCAAAAAAUGGCAGAGGAGCAGCUAGGAGAACAGCCCAUGGCAUGCUGAGCUGCAGCAGCUUCCUCUCAUGCUCUCCAUGAUACUCUCUUACCAGUGUUUGGGGUUGCCACCUAUAUGGACCACAAACUAAGUAAUAGAAAUGUCACCUUUCUCAUAGUCUCAGUGCAUCCUGCUUGUGCUACUACAAAGACAGGAAGGAAUACCGUGGGCUCAUUAAUUCUUUUUACAGCUCUCAAACAAAAGAACAGUCACUAAGCAGAAGGAACCAGCAACAUACCUUCUUGAUGCACAGAGCAUAUUGCUGAUCCAGUGCUGUUGUUUCCUAGGAGCUGAGCAACCCUGUUGGUCUACCAGAAUUUUCUAAGUGUCAUUUUUUAAUAGCUCCUGAAUAACUCCUUUCACAAAUAUUCACUCAACUAAGCUAUUAGGUUUUGAAACCAGAAAAUUUGUCUUUUAUCUCUGUAAUAGUGGAGUUUAUGUUGAGAGAAAGUUUUAAACAAGCAUUUCUAAUUUCACUGCAGCUAGAAAUGUCUGCCAUUGUGUUACGGCCAGUAAUAUGCUUUGACUAGUGUGCUUCACUUGCACCAACCUUAAGUUCACAAUUAAAAUAAAAAGCAGGGAAACAAUAAAUAUUGGAAAGACUUUCUGGAUUCCACAUCAGCAUUUCCAUGUUUUCUCCAGUCACUGCUAAACAACCACUCCUCAGUUCUAAAUGAAAGCUUGUGUCUUUUCAUUGACACUGAUCCCUCCUUUUUGGAUUAAAUGUGUUUCAUCUAUAACUCUGUCAAUUUAGACAUGACAGACAGACAGAUUUAAGCAACCUAAUUUCCAAACACCUCAAACCACUGUCUCCUGUAUCCUACUGACCAGACAAGAAGAGUAAAACCACAAUCUCUGUGCAGAGGAACAGUAUAGAUAUUUGGACUUUGUGAAUUUGGGAAACAGUAAGUAGGUAAGUUAAUGACACACUUCUGCUGAUUCUUCAGGGAGGAUUUCUUCAUUAUUUAAUAUUAUUGUUAUCUCAAUUAUUCAAAUGUUAUUACUGCUAGCAAUGGCUAUGUAUUGGGUCUCACUGAGUUGGAGUUCAUUUCCCCAUUAAUAGCCCUCACAGUGCUGUGCUUUGCAUUGGUAGCUAGAAGGGUGUUGAUAACACAUCAGUGGUUUUGCUACAGCUGAGCGCAGCAUCAACACUGUAACAUUCCUUCCUCAACUGAGGGCAAGAUCCUGGGAGGGGACCCAAGUAGGCCAAAUCUGACCCACCACUCUCUGGGCUCAGCCCUCCAGCCGGUUCCUAACCCAGCACAGAGUGCCCCUGUCCAAGCUGUGGGCUGCCAGCUUUUUCAGGAGUAUGCUGUGGGAGAUGGUGUCAAAGGCUUUGCUGAAGUCCAGGCAGACCACAUCCACAGUCUUACCCUCAUCCACAAGGCAGGUCACUUGAUCACAAAAGGAGAUCAGUUUGGUCAGACAGGACCUGCCCCUCCUAAACCUGUGCUGUCUGGGUCUGAUCCCUUGUCCAUCUUGUAGCUGUUGUGUGAUUGCACUGAGGAUGAUCUGCUCCAUAAUCUUGCCAAGCACUGAGGUCAGGCCUGUAGUUUCCUGGGUCCUCCUUCCAGCCCUUUUUGUGGAUUGCAUGACAUUUGUCAGCUUCCAAUCAUCUGGGACCUCCCCAGUGAGCCAGGACUGUUGGUAGGUGAUGGAGAGCGGCUUGGCAAGCUCUUCUGCCAGCUCCCUCAUCACCCUAGGAUGGAUCCCAUCUGGUCCCACAGACUUGUGGGGAUCCAAGUGGCUCAGCAGGUCGCAAACUGUUUCCUCCUGGAUUACAGGGGGGCUAUUCGGCUUCUUAUCUCUGUCUACAAGCUUCAGAAGCCACCCAGUCUAAGAUGCUCAGCUAGGAUUUUCCAAAGCCAGUGAAGUAUAUCUAAAAUAUAUAUUGUGUGUGUGUGUGUGUGUGUAUAUAUAUAUAAAAUCAUAUAUACAUAUAUAUAUAUAUCUAAAAUACAUAUUUUUUAAUAAUCA